Molecule: ribosomal RNA, 509 nt
Filed under: uncultured Cytophagaceae bacterium
Lineage: Bacteria; Pseudomonadati; Bacteroidota; Cytophagia; Cytophagales; Cytophagaceae
Description: bacterial SSU rRNA
Rfam family: Bacterial small subunit ribosomal RNA
Source: RNAcentral
AGGGUUCGAUUCUGGCUCAGGAUGAACGCUAGCGGCAGGCCUAAUACAUGCAAGUCGAGGGGUAAGAGUCAGCUUGCUGACUACACGACCGGCGCACGGGUGCGUAACGCGUAUGCAACCUACCUUUAACAGAGGAAUAGCCCCGAGAAAUCGGGAUUAAUACCACAUAACAUUAUGAUAUGGCAUCAUAUUAUAAUUAAAACUCCGGUGGUUAAAGAUGGGCAUGCGUGACAUUAGCUAGUUGGUGAGGUAACUGCUCACCAAGGCUACGAUGUCUAGGGGUUCUGAGAGGAUGAUCCCCCACACUGGUACUGAGACACGGACCAGACUCCUACGGGAGGCAGCAGUAAGGAAUAUUGCGCAAUGGAGGCAACUCUGACGCAGCCAUGCCGCGUGCAGGAUUGAAGGCCUUAUGGGUCGUAAACUGCUUUUAUUUAGGAAUAAACUUUCGUACGUGUACGAAACUGAAGGUACUAAACGAAUAGGCACCGGCUAACUCCGUGCCAGCC